RNAcentral lists this ribosomal RNA (2098 nucleotides) under mouse gut metagenome. Its description in RNAcentral is "bacterial LSU rRNA". It matches the Rfam family "Bacterial large subunit ribosomal RNA", at positions 831 to 2925 of the family's 2925-position model. The record is from RNAcentral.
AAUCAAACCCGGAGAUAUCUCGUUCUCCCCGAAAUAGCUUUAGGGCUAGCCUCGGCCGUUCACCCGCGGUGGUAGAGCCACCGGAUCGACGAGGGGGCUUCACCGCCUACCGACUCGAACCGAACUCCGAAUGCCGCGGGUACACAGGCCGGGAGUCAGAGGGCGUGGGCUAAGCUGCGCGCUCGAGAGGGAAACAGCCCGGACCGCCCGCUAAGGCCCCCAAGUCAUCGCUGAGUGGCAAAGGAUGUGCGUCUGCCCAGACAACCAGGAUGUUGGCUUAGAAGCAGCCAUGCAUUUAAAGAGUGCGUAACAGCUCACUGGUCGAGUGGACAUGCGCCGACAAUUCACGGGGCUAAGCGAUGCGCCGAAGCGGCGGACUGGAAAUUACUCCAGUGGUAGGGGAGCUCUCCGAGGGGGGCGAAGCGGCGCCGCGAGGCGCCGUGGACCGCUCGGAGGUGAGAAUGCUGGCAUGAGUAACGAGAGCGGCGCGAGAAACGCCGCCGCCGUGAGCCUAAGGGUUCCUGGGCGAGGCUAAUCCCCCCAGGGUCAGUCGGGAGCUAAGGCGAGGCCGAGAGGCGUAGCCGAUGCGCAGCGGGCAGACAUUCCCGCACCGCCGACGGCGCGGCAUUACCGAUGGGGCGACGGAGAAGGGUAGCCGGGCGGGGUUCUGGACGUCCCCGUGAAAGCGCGUAGGGCGCGCCGCAUGGAAAUCAGCGGCGCACAUGGGCCUGAGACGCGAGACGAAGCGAACGAGCGAAGCCGGUGAGCCCAUGCUUCCGAGAAAAACCUCUAGGGAGUGCCGUCGGCGCCCGUACCAAAACCGACACAGGUGGGCGGGUAGAACAUACCGAGGCGAUCGGGAGAACCACGGUUAAGGAACUCGGCAUACUGGCCCCGUAACUUCGGGAGAAGGGGCGCCCUCUGGGGUGAAGGCACUUGCUGCCGGAGCGCCGGAGGGCCGCAGCGAAACGGCCCAAGCGACUGUUUAUCAAAAACACAGGACUCUGCAAAGUAGCAAUACGACGUAUAGGGUCUGACGCCUGCCCGGUGCCGGAAGGUUACGCGGAUGAGUUAGCGAAAGCGAAGCCCUGAAGCCAAGCCCCGGUAAACGGCGGCCGUAACUAUAACGGUCCUAAGGUAGCGAAAUUCCUUGUCGGGUAAGUUCCGACCUGCACGAAUGGCGUAACGAUUUGGGCGCUGUCUCAACCGUGGACCCGGUGAAAUUGUACUGUUCGUGAAGAUGCGAACUACCCGCGGAAGGACGGAAAGACCCCGUGAACCUUCACUGCAGCUUGGCAUUGGCAUCUGGUACGGCGCGUAGAGGAUAGGCAGGAGCCCGCGAAGCGGGGGCGCAAGCCCCCGUGGAGGCGACCUUGGAAUACUGCCCCCGUCGUGCCGGCUGCCUAACGCGCGGCCGUCAUCCGGCGCGCGGACCGUGCCAGGCGGGUAGUUUGACUGGGGCGGUCGCCUCCCAAAGAGUAACGGAGGCGCGCGUAAGGUCCGCUCAGGACGGUCGGCAACCGUCCCGAGAGCGCAAGAGUGCAAGCGGGCUUGACUGCGAGACUGACAAGUCGGGCAGGUGCGAAAGCAGGUUCUAGUGAUCCGGCGGCCCAGAGUGGAAUGGCCGUCGCUCAACGGAUAAAAGGUACUCCGGGGAUAACAGGCUGAUCUUCCCCAAGAGUCCACAUCGACGGGAAGGUUUGGCACCUCGAUGUCGGCUCAUCGCAUCCUGGGGCUGGAGCAGGUCCCAAGGGUUGGGCUGUUCGCCCAUUAAAGCGGUACGCGAGCUGGGUUCAGAACGUCGUGAGACAGUUCGGUCCCUAUCCUCCGCGGGCGCAAGGGAGUUGAGGAGAUCUGCCCCUAGUACGAGAGGACCGGGGUGGACGGACCUCUGGUGACGCGGUUGUCGGCCAACGGCACCGCCGCCUAGCUACGUCCGGCACGGAUAACCGCUGAAGGCAUCUAAGUGGGAAGCCGCCUCCGAGAUGAGCUCCCUUUCCGGUAAGGGCCCAGAUAGACUAUCUGGUCGAUAGGGCGCAGCUGCAAGCAGGGCGACCUGCUCAGGCGAGCGCUACUAAUAGCCCGAGCUCUUCUUCUC